RNAcentral lists this ribosomal RNA (253 nucleotides) under uncultured bacterium. RNAcentral's name for it is "partial 16S ribosomal RNA". It matches the Rfam family "Bacterial small subunit ribosomal RNA", at positions 524 to 776 of the family's 1533-position model. The record is from RNAcentral.
GACGUAGGGCGCGAGCGUUGUCCGGAUUUAUUGGGCGUAAAGAGCUCGUAGGCGGCUUGUUGCGUCGACUGUGAAAACCCGCGGCUUAACUGCGGGCUUGCAGUUGAUACGGGCAGGCUAGAGUUCGGUAGGGGAGACUGGAAUUCCUGGUGUAGCGGUGAAAUGCGCAGAUAUCAGGAGGAACACCUGCGGCGAAGGCGGGUUGCUGGGCUGACACUGACGCUGAGGCGCGAAAGCCAGGGGAGCGAACGGG